UCCCCAAAUCCCUCUGUAUCGACCCAGCCACUCCCGUCCCUUCCUAACCCUACUUCCCCAAAUCACAGACCCGCCGCCGCCGCCGCCCCCCACUCCACCGCCGCCCCUUCCUAACCCUACUUCUGGCCGGCCCGUUCUCCCCUUCCCUGUGCGCCGCCGCCCUACCUCUCUUCCUCCGCUGAGCUGCCAUUUCCAUGGAAGCGGCCCGGCCUGGUCAUUGCUGGAUCUGGCGGUCUGGCCGCACCGGUGGUCGAUGCUGCCGGAUCUGGCCCGGACCUCAUCAACGCCGCCCCGGUUGUUCACCUCCCCAUCACCACUUCCUCCAUCGUCAUCUUGUCCGCCUUGCCCAGAUCCGCUGAUAGGGUGAGACCGUGAGAGUAGCCGCCUGUCUCCUGAGGAGUUCGUCCCCGACGGCCUCUCCAAGGACUCCCUCCUCCUCACUCCCAACGCCACUGCCUUCGGAACACGCUGCUCUUCUUCGUGGCAUUGAGUUCAAGCAGGGUCAACCGCGAGCUGUAUCGUCAUCGAGCGUUCCUCUUCUUCGUCGGGCCUGCACCUUCUCGGGGUGCAGCCGUGCAGCACCUGCUGCUGUGGAAGAUAGAUGGCCCGGUGCUGGUAGAGCUGCUCCACGUCGGCCCUGUCGAGCUCAACCACUAAUUGUUCAACCACGCGCUGCACCACCACUUCCUCUACACUCGCUACCAGUGAGCACCACAACGCCUCUAUCAUCAUCGAGCUCAUCACCUGUUUCCCAAAGGUACAAGUUCACUAAGGUUUGGAAGAUCUUCAAGCUGCUGGAGAUUUGGAAGAUCUACAACUAAGAUGGAGUGAUAAUGUUGUAUGUCUUGUUUGUUGAACCUAGAGAUUUGCUCUGCCCAUUUUGGUGCUUGUUAAGCUCAUUUUGGUUUUGUGGCACACAUUUAGAAACAUAUGUACAUCUCCUCUUGUGGCGGUGCUUUAUUCUGGUUGUGGCAAACAUAUAUGUACUCCUUUUGUGAACAACCUCCUUAUAUAUGGUCGUUUUGUUUAUGGAAUGAAGUUUAAGAUUUCAAUGAA
Molecule: long non-coding RNA, 1056 nt
Organism: Triticum dicoccoides
Lineage: Eukaryota; Viridiplantae; Streptophyta; Magnoliopsida; Poales; Poaceae
Exons: 2
Source: RefSeq, a predicted model, not a curated record